GUGAUGGAAUGUCCUGAGGGGAUAAAAGCUGGAGUCGGUCUCAGCACAUCUCAGUUACUCAUUUUGACUCGUUUGGACAAGUGAGUUACUACAGCGCUGAUUUGGAAAAAUGACUAGAAAGCUACCUCCAAUUUCUCGGCCUCAACCCCAGCCUCAUUUUCUUUCUGUUCCUUCCCGCUCUCGUCUUCCAGCCCUCCUUCCCCCCGUUACUCCUCAAACUUCCUGCCGUCAGCCUCCUCUCCAGAGCCGUCCAAGUUGUUCGAUUUUCUGCCCUACCCGUUUGCCCAAGCUGACUAAUGUCGCCCCUUCCCAGUACCCUACCUCAAGGAACUUCCUGCCCGGCCCUUCCUCUGUUACUACCAGGGCGUCCGUGUGCCGCCGCCCUGUUCGUCAGGCACCCCUUUCCCGGUGUCCCCCUAUCUUUCCCCCUCACCCUCCUCAUAGCCCUUCUUUCUAGUCCCCUGUACUCUAGUCCCCACUCCCUAUCCAGCCACCCCCAACCAGACCUGACGGCUUGCAAAUCUCACCCUGGAGAAAUGGUUUCCCUCCUACUGGGGCAGUUCCCAGGCGGUCCAGAAUUGCCAGGACUUGUGGAUUCCCAGCAGCGACCUGGCAGACACGGGGAAUCCAAGACCAUGGCAAGCGAACAUUCGGCCUGGCCUGCGCCUUUCCUCUCCUGCCUGGGCAGCCAGACUGCACAAGCCUCUGCAUUUGAACUGGCUUCUCCGUGGAACUUGGUUUGUAACCACGGAGCAAACUGCAGGACCAGGGGCAGAGAAGUUGAUGGCGAGCCUUUUUCCUGGCAGUAUCCAGAGGCGGUUCUAGUAAAGAGGCUGGAUUCCGAGAGGCCAGAGCGGUAUCAUACGAACGCCGUUGCCUGGAGACGGAGUGGGGUGCCAUUGCCUAGAGACUGCAGAAGGCCCGCAGCCAAGCGAGUGGUAAGAGGACGCCGAGAGAGCCCCGGACCCACGGAGCAGCCCCAAGGCUAUGGCGGGACACCCGAAAGAGAGGGUGGUCACAGAUGAGGUCCAUCAGAACCAGAUCUUGCGGGAGCUGUACCUCAAAGAGUUACGAACCCAGAAACUCCACACGCAGUACCAUGUGAAUCCCCUGCGCAAGGUUCACAGGAUUACGAGGAAGCCUAUGUCUUGGCAUGAUAACCUGGAGGAACCCGCAGACGCCAGGUUUCUGAAUCUCAUUCACCAUGCUGCCCAGGGGCCAACGAAGAAGUACCCGGAGGCACAGACUGAAAACCAGGAAAUUGGGUGGGACUCAGAAGCCUUGGUCGACCCAGAACGCCGUGACCACAGGAUGAACCACUUCAGGGUCUACAGUGACAUCACUCUGUACAAAGCUAAAAUGUGGAGCUUGGGAGAAGAUGAUCGCCACAAGUAGCAUCUCAGCUGUGGAGUCAGGCCCUGGAUUUAAUGCCCUAAAUAUCCACUGCCUAGAAGACUAAACAUUAUUUUAACCCCCCGUCCCCCAUCCAUAAUUCAUGGAUAAUGGCAAAAAUUAGGAAGCAUAAAAAAUAUGCGGAAGAAGGAAAUAAAAAUUGCCCAUUAUCUCACCAUAUGGAAGUGACUAAUGUUAGCAUUUUAAACCAUUUGUUUUUAAAAUUAAUAAUAAAUUGCAUAUAUUUAUUGUGUA
Homo sapiens (human) is the source of this 1647-nucleotide RNA transcript. It is a transcript of the gene named CFAP144 pseudogene 1, with no coding region annotated. The transcript has 2 exons. The record is from RefSeq and is marked validated. Lineage: Eukaryota; Metazoa; Chordata; Mammalia; Primates; Hominidae.